CACACAUCGCACGGGAGUGCCCGCUCGAGGGCGCUGAGAGGACGGCUAGUGCCGUCGACCGUCUGAACCUGUCCGGGUAAUGCCGGCGUAGGGAGAAGCACAUGUCUGAUG
This 111-nucleotide non-coding RNA is filed under the name Mycobacterium triviale. RNAcentral's name for it is "TPP sequence". It matches the Rfam family "TPP riboswitch aptamer (THI element)". Rfam says of the family: Vitamin B(1) in its active form thiamin pyrophosphate (TPP) is an essential coenzyme that is synthesised by coupling of pyrimidine and thiazole moieties in bacteria. The previously detected thiamin-regulatory element, thi box was extended, resulting in a new, highly conserved RNA secondary structure, the THI element, which is widely distributed in eubacteria and also occurs in some archaea. The record is from RNAcentral. Lineage: Bacteria; Bacillati; Actinomycetota; Actinomycetes; Mycobacteriales; Mycobacteriaceae.